Molecule: ribosomal RNA, 453 nt
Filed under: Astrothelium subrufescens
Lineage: Eukaryota; Fungi; Ascomycota; Dothideomycetes; Trypetheliales; Trypetheliaceae
Description: partial large subunit ribosomal RNA
Rfam family: Eukaryotic large subunit ribosomal RNA
Source: RNAcentral
GAGUUGUAAUUUGCAGAGGAUGUUAUGGAAUCUGUAUGGACUCAAGUCCUUUGGAAAAAGGCGCCAUGGAGAGUGACAGUCUCGUACUUUCCAAUACAUUUUCCAUGUAUAACUCCUUCAAAGAGUCGAGUUGUUUGGGAAUGCAGCUCUAAGUGGGACGUAAAUUUGUUCCAAAGCUAAAUACCUGCUAGAGACCGAUAGCGCACAAGUAGAGUGAUCGAAAGAUGAAAAGCACUUUGAAAAGAGAGUUAAAAAGCACGUGAAAUUGUUGAAAGGGAAGCUUAUGUCAUCAGAAAUGGAGUCGUUGUUCAGCCUUUUGGUGUAUUCAAUGACUACCAGGCUAGCAUCAGUUUGAAUAGCUGGAUAAAAGCGUUGGAAAUGUGGCUCCCCCGAGAGUGUUAUAGUUCGAUGCACAAUGCAGUUCAUUCAGACUGAGGACCGCUUUAAGGAUGC